Molecule: ribosomal RNA, 265 nt
Filed under: uncultured bacterium
Lineage: Bacteria
Description: partial 16S ribosomal RNA
Rfam family: Bacterial small subunit ribosomal RNA
Source: RNAcentral
AACGAACGCUGGCGGCAUGCCUAACACAUGCAAGUCGAACGAGACCUUCGGGUCUAGUGGCGCACGGGUGCGUAACACGUGGGAAUUUGCCUCGGGGUAUGGAAUAACCCAGGGAAACUUGAGCUAAUACCAUAUAAUGUCUUCGGACCAAAGAUUUAUCGCCCUGAGAUAAGCCCGCGUAGGAUUAGCUAGUUGGUGGGGUAAAGGCUCACCAAGGCGACGAUCCUUAGCUGGUCUGAGAGGAUGAUCAGCCACACUGGGACUG